RNAcentral lists this long non-coding RNA (734 nucleotides) under Ananas comosus (pineapple). RNAcentral describes it as "long non-coding RNA (ACOM_LNC030055)". Lineage: Eukaryota; Viridiplantae; Streptophyta; Magnoliopsida; Poales; Bromeliaceae. The record is from RNAcentral.
UAAUAUAAUAAUAUAUGUCACAGCUAAUUCAGCUAUCAUAAAUUUUUCUUGCAUAAUAUGACGCUUCAGCUAUAACUAGGCAACAUGAUGCCCAAAUUGAUUAUUGUAUUAUUACUGUAUUGCUAAAAUCAAUUAUUGUAUUACUGUCGUGGUGUUUAUUAGUUACAACCAGAGAUCAUGAUCUCUGGUAAUCGAAUUUGUAUUUAAUCAGAUCACUCUGUCGAAAACCCUGCUUGGUAUUGUUACCACUUUUUUGUUAAAAAAAAAAACACUAAUUCUAUAUAACUUGAUAUAUUUGAGAAAAAACUUUGUUUUUUUGUUAUUAUAUGAUUAGUUUAAAAUGCAUCUGACUAAGCGAUAAGCGAAAUUGUUUACAAAAAUUUUGAAAGCAAAAAAGAAAAGAAAAGAAAUGUUAUCUUUUAUUGCCAAAUAAAUAUCUUGGAUAAAUAAUACCAAAUGAGACAUCAGUUAUCAUAAUUUCUUAUUUUUUAGUUUAACAACAUGCUAACAGUUAUAUUACCGCUGUGUCGUUUAUUGAAAACAACGAGACCUCGUGCCCGAAUCAAAGGUCGUAUAACUGCCAUGUCGUUUAUUAGAAACGACGAGCAAUUAUGAUAAUCCAAUCGGCAGCUAAUCAGAUGACUCUGUCAGAAAAUUAAAUAAAAAAUAUAAUAUAAUUUAACUAAAAUAGAAAUUAAAAUUAAAUAACUUAAUAAUUCUUAUUAUAUAAAUUA